CCUACGGGGGGCUGCAGUGAGGAAUAUUGGUCAAUGGGCGGGAGCCUGAACCAGCCAUGCCGCGUGAAGGCGAGUGCCCUACGGGCGUUAAACUUCUUUUGUGCGGGAGCAAUAAGGGCCACGUGUGGCCCGAUGAGAGUACCGCACGAAUAAGCAUCGGCUAACUCCGUGCCAGCAGCCGCGGUAAUACGGGGGAUGCGAGCGUUAUCCGGAUUUAUUGGGUUUAAAGGGUGCGCAGGCGGAUUUUUAAGUCAGCGGUCAAAUCGUGGGGCUCAACCCCAUCCAGCCGUUGAAACUGGGGAUCUAGAGUGUGCGAGAGGUAUGCGGAAUGCGUGGUGUAGCGGUGAAAUGCAUAGAUAUCACGCAGAACCCCGAUUGCGAAGGCAGCAUACCGGUGCACAACUGACGCUCAGGCACGAAAGCGUGGGUAUCGAACAGGAUUAGAUACCCCAGUAGUC
RNAcentral lists this ribosomal RNA (458 nucleotides) under uncultured bacterium. RNAcentral's name for it is "partial 16S ribosomal RNA". It matches the Rfam family "Bacterial small subunit ribosomal RNA", at positions 338 to 795 of the family's 1533-position model. The record is from RNAcentral.